AUUAUAUAUACUUACAUUACUGCUGCAGCCCGUUAUAUCAUAAUAUAUUGUAAUAUAGGUAUGUUUAUGUGUGUGUAAUGUACCUAUACUUUCAGCCAUUAUAUACAUAUGUUGCAUAUGUUGUUAUUAUUCGAAACAUCGCGGUAAGUAUUGUAUAUUAGCUCGUGUCAGCGCGGUAACAUAAUCGUUUUAGAUAUUUGCGGCCUAUUAUUAUAUUAUAUAUGAAUAUAUGAUCAUACUCGUGUAUUGAUAUUUUGAUUUUUUUUUUUGAAAUUUUUUCCUAUUGGACAACAUAAUACAUACACUCUGGCACUCUGCAGCAGCAACAGCGAUAGCGAUUGGUAUAGCUACAAUAAUAGUCGUAUAAUCUAUGACAGAGGCUCGAGCGGAGAAAUCUAUACGUCUCCCUGUAAUCAUGAUAUAGGUACCUAUAUACAUAUUAUUUAUUAUAAUAUAUUGUAUAUACUGUUGUAACGGCAAACAACGCUCAUUGUAUAUAAAUACAUUAUAAACUGUACCUGUAUUAUGUAGAAUAUAUCAAAGAGGUACGUGCAAAAAUGUCCGUUUUAAAUAUUAUAAUAUUAUUAUUAUUAUUGUUUUUUUUUUUUUUUUUUGAACGUGAUAUCCGUGAUAAAAAUGAAAAAAACAAUUCGAGCUGAAUUUGAACAGUACAUUUGUUCUUUGAUUUUACACGCAAUGUCGCUGUAUAGUAAAUGUAUAUAUUGACGCUUUACGUUCAGUUAUGUGGUUGAAAAACGACUUCACAAACUUCGUGUACCUAUAACUGACCGGUGCACUGUAAGUGCAGUUACACAAAUGUAACGCUAUUUAUUUUACAUUUUUAUCUCAUACGAGUAUAUACGUCAUAUUCGUCCUAACAAUAUUCAACUCAACGGAAGACAUUAGUAAUAAUUUGUUAUAAUAUAUUUUGUGGACCACCCUAGCUGCAAUGGUCCAUCUCACUGCAGUUGAGCAAGCGAUGAUUGAUCCGUCUACUUAGCUGAGAUGUUAGGUGCAGAACUUGAGCCAUUAGAGGUAAUCGGGUGAAAAACAAAAGUGUUAUCAUGCAAUUAAUACAAAAUGACAGCCGUAAAUCUGAAUCACAUAUUUAAUAUUGGCAAUUGAGACAAAAUGAAAUUUUGAUAAAAAAUAACCAAAAACGUAAUCAUUUUCAAAGAUUAUGAAGCAUCGCCGCGUAAAUAGGAAAUAACUGAACCAAUUCAAUACGAGUCAAUAAUAUAACAAAAUUUGUUGGCGAUGUGCUGAGAAAAUAUUUCCAAUAAAAAUAUAUACAAUUUUAUUCUGUAGAGUGCAUUAGUGGAUUUGGCAGAAAAAAAAAUAGAAAACUGCAGUCGUCUGAGCUACCGUAGUCCCAGAAGCCACAAAAACAAAAAUAAGGACCCACAGCCAAUUAUCUGCCUCUGGACAUCUAUAGGUACCUAUAUAUGUAUAGACUAUACUAAUUCGGACUCCAGUGUGGAUAAUUAUUCAGACAUAGACACAUAGUGUAUUCAUGUACAGUGACAAACCGACGAUCUCGGUUUUGACUACCGUCCGACGCGUGUGGUAUAAACCCUGUCGGUAUAAAUACGAUGAUGGUAAUUAAUAAUAACAUCCAGAAUCAUAUUAUUAUAAUACGCGAGUACCAGAUGUAUAAAAGCAACUAUAUACGAGUACGUGAGCACCUCAUCAGCGGUCCGGUCUCGUAUUGAGAUUUAAGAUCGGACGGCGACGGCCGAAGAGGAACCACAAAACUUGACGACGACAACGACUACGUCGUGAAUGAAUGAUUAUUGACAAUUCGUCUGCUCAAGCGCGUCUUGGGAGGCCUGUCUCAUCAAUCCGAAUAGCAGGUACCGUCGGCAAUUUGCCAUCUGCACAAGUGACCACCGCCGACGUCUCGAAGUGAGCGGCCAAUACUGCACGGGACAUGUCGUGAUGGUAUAUCGUGCGUGUGCUUCGAUACGAUUGCAGACCAUUAACUUCGACUCCCGUUCCUUGGCCGCAUUUAUUCGUAAGCGGAUACAGACGCGUUUGUAUAAAAUAAUAUUAAAACAGUUUGUUUAGAUUUGAUUUUCUGAUCAUAGUUUUUUUUGUCAGCGUUUUUUCUUCUCACAUCGUUGGUUAUUUUAUCAGUGAUAGUUUGUAUUUUUAAUACUGUGAUCUAUGAUACAGUCUUGCAUUAC
Long non-coding RNA from Aphis gossypii (cotton aphid), 2186 nucleotides. RefSeq lists it as uncharacterized. The transcript has 10 exons. The record is from RefSeq and is a predicted model, not a curated record. NCBI's taxonomy places the organism in Eukaryota, Metazoa, Arthropoda, Insecta, Hemiptera, Aphididae.